GAUGAACGCUGGCGAAAUGCUUUACACAUGCAAGUCGUACGAAAGCUUUUAGCUUAAGUGGCGGACGGGUGAGUAAUACGUAAGAAUUUGCCUUUAGGAGGGGGAUAACAGCUGGAAACGGUUGCUAAUACCCCAUAUGCUUUUAAGUGAAAUGGGUUUCCGCCUAAAGAAAAGCUUACGGCUGAUUAGCUUGUUGGUAAGGUAAUGGCUUACCAAGGCGACAAUCAGUAUCUGGUUUGAGAGGAUGAUCAGACACACUGGAACUGAGACACGGCCCAGACUCCUACGGGAGGCAGCAGUGGGGAAUCUUAGACAAUGGGGCAACCCUGAUCUAGCCAUGCCGCGUGAGUGACGAAGGCCCUAGGGUCGUAAAGCUCUUUCGCCAGGGAUGAUAAUGACAGUACCUGGUAAAGAAACCCCGGCUAACUCCGU
This 432-nucleotide ribosomal RNA is filed under the name uncultured bacterium. RNAcentral describes it as "bacterial SSU rRNA". It matches the Rfam family "Bacterial small subunit ribosomal RNA", at positions 28 to 506 of the family's 1533-position model. The record is from RNAcentral.